GGCAAGGUAGUUUAUUUUAAAAUGUUUGUUUUACACACAAAAGUUGAGUUUUUUCUAUUGUCA
RNAcentral lists this transfer RNA (63 nucleotides) under Diplostomum pseudospathaceum. Its description in RNAcentral is "tRNA-Val". Lineage: Eukaryota; Metazoa; Platyhelminthes; Trematoda; Diplostomida; Diplostomidae. The record is from RNAcentral.